GAUGAACGCUAGCUACAGGCUUAACACAUGCAAGUCGAGGGGCAGCAUGUAGGUUGCUUGCAACCUAUGAUGGCGACCGGCGCACGGGUGCGUAACGCGUAUCCAACCUUCCCCGCAGUAGGGUCCAGCCCGUUGAAAGACGGAUUAAUCCCCUAUGUUGUCCAUUGACGGCAUCCGAUUUGGACGAAAGAUUUCAUCGCUGCAGGAUGGGGAUGCGUCUGAUUAGCUUGUCGGCGGGGUAACGGCCCACCGAGGCGACGAUCAGUAGGGGUUCUGAGAGGAAGGUCCCCCACAUUGGUACUGAGACACGGACCAAACUCC
RNAcentral lists this ribosomal RNA (321 nucleotides) under uncultured Prevotella sp. Its description in RNAcentral is "bacterial SSU rRNA". It matches the Rfam family "Bacterial small subunit ribosomal RNA", at positions 28 to 339 of the family's 1533-position model. The record is from RNAcentral. Lineage: Bacteria; Pseudomonadati; Bacteroidota; Bacteroidia; Bacteroidales; Prevotellaceae.